UAAAAAGCAUUUUUCUCUCUCCCCGGCAAUCUCUCAAAAACUGCCCAGCCACAAUUUCUCCAAUCUAUACCGUCCAUUUAAAUCCAUUUAAAAUAACGGCUAUUAAGACGCCACCUCAUCUAUCUGUGUCAAACCUCAGAAAAAACAUUUUCUUCCUCCCCCACUUACGAAAAAAUCGCUUGAUGCCAUGGAGUUACGGUUUUAGGCAGAAAAUUUUGGGAUGAUACCUGUACCCUUGCCAGAAAAUGUCGGAAAAAGUCGCCUGAUACUUGUACCUUUGCCCGGCGGUUUCCUCAACCUCCUGGGACCACGAUUUUCGGCGUUUUUCGCGAGGCUCCGGAGCCCCCAGUUCCAGAUCUAGACUUGCCUGGAGCGGUGUGGGUGGGGGACAUGAUGCGGCCAGAUCUGGACUCGCCUAGACGUUCUUCCCCCCUCCAACUCGACCUCUCUCCAUGGCUGCUUCAUCCUCUGCUCAAUCAACCACAAACCUGCAGUUCUCUAUUUAUUUUUUUUUUGUUGAUUUUUGUUUGGGUGCUCUCUACUCUUUCCCAACAUAAACAAGUGAUUUUUUUUUUUUUAAUUUUUUUUAUGCCCUUGUUCUUUAAGAGAUCGACCAAAAAGUUCUAAUGGAAAAUGAAAUACUGGACUAAGAGGGAGAUGUAUUUGAUGUGCACUUGUUUUGCUGUGUUUUAACGUGGCCAAAAUUCAGACAUAGCAUGGACUUUGCUUGUCAAUUUAACCUUUAAAGUUGCUGGUUCCUUUUUAUUAUUAUUAUGUUUUUAAAGGUCUCCAUUUAGUCUGUACCCUCCUUCAGUUUGUGAAUGGUCACAUUUGAAAGAUUUUUGGUGGGUUGGCAUUGUUUGGAGGACUUAAUAUUGUCACAUUUGAAAGAUCAUUUUGUGUAAUUUUACUAUCUUUCUCA
Alnus glutinosa is the source of this 922-nucleotide long non-coding RNA. RefSeq lists it as uncharacterized. The transcript has 2 exons. The record is from RefSeq and is a predicted model, not a curated record. NCBI's taxonomy places the organism in Eukaryota, Viridiplantae, Streptophyta, Magnoliopsida, Fagales, Betulaceae.